This is a long non-coding RNA of Quercus lobata, 804 nucleotides long. RefSeq lists it as uncharacterized. NCBI's taxonomy places the organism in Eukaryota, Viridiplantae, Streptophyta, Magnoliopsida, Fagales, Fagaceae. The transcript is spliced from 2 exons. The record is from RefSeq and is a predicted model, not a curated record.
UUGUCGAUAAAGGCUAUGGCAUUCACUUAUCACAGUGAUUGAGGUAUAAAAUGCGUUAGAAUGAGUACCAAAAUCAAAGGUAAGUUUUUACAAAUUUUCCCCAUUAUUUUCCCAGUUCUUAAUUUAUACUUCUGUUAACAAGUGGUUGAUUUUGUAUUUACAUUUAAAAACACCGAAAUAUUGUCACUUUUUGUUUGGUGCAUUAAGGAAACGUUUCAAUGAUAUUUUUCACAUUUUAAUGUUCAGUCUCUCUGAUAGGCACCUCUUCUUUCUCCCACCAUUUUUUUCCCCUAAUUUAAAUGGUUAAUUUGACAUGCUUACUAUUUUUUUUUUAAUCUCUAUUUCCUGUUAUUAAUUGUUGUGUUUGGUUUUAGGGACACAACUUCAAAGCAUAAAAACCUAGAACCAUCUGAAAACCAAAACUGCAAGUUGCUUUUUAUUUUCGUUUUACUUUCUACUUCCAAUUUGUUCUCUGUGUUUUCUUUAUUUCGUAUAUUUCUUUCUCUUUUGGCUUUCACUUUUCAGGAAACAGAGGUUUCUUCUCACGAAACCUUGCAGCAAGUUGUUCUCAUAGGUCCAACAGAGAUUCUGAUGGGUACCUCUCAUUUCUUUCAAGACUUUGUUUGCUCAAGUGGGUGACAACUUUCAUUGUGAUUUGAUGGUUGGGUUGUGUACAUGAAAGCUUCUUAGAGAGCAACUUGGCUAUUGUUGGUGGCAGUGUACAGUUAAUGAGGAAGGAUUGUCAAGAUAAUAAAAAGGUUCCACCUGUUCUUGAGUGUGAAAAGGAUUGUGGGCUGUUUUUUA